RNAcentral lists this ribosomal RNA (522 nucleotides) under uncultured bacterium. RNAcentral describes it as "bacterial SSU rRNA". It matches the Rfam family "Bacterial small subunit ribosomal RNA", at positions 791 to 1310 of the family's 1533-position model. The record is from RNAcentral.
UAGUCCACGCCGUAAACGAUGAUCACUAGAUGUUGGAACCCUUUGGGGAUUCAGUGUCGGAGCUAACGCGGUAAGUGAUCCGCCUGGGGAGUACGGUCGCAAGAUUAAAACUCAAAGGAAUUGACGGGGGUCCGCACAAGCGGUGGAACAUGUGGUUUAAUUCGACACUACGCGAGGAACCUUACCUGGAUUUGACAUAUACCUGCUCGCCCCAGAGAUGGGAUUUUACUAGUUUACUAGUACAGGUAUACAGGUGCUGCAUGGCUGUCGUCAGCUCGUGUCGUGAGAUGUUGGGUUAAGUCCUUUAACGAGCGCAACCCCUGCCGUUAGUUGCUAUUCUUCGGAAGCACUCUAGCGGGACUGCCUGGGAAACCAGGAGGAAGGUGGGGAUGACGUCAAGUCCUCAUGGCCCUUAUGUCCAGGGCUACACACGUGUUACAAUGGGAUGUACAAAGGGAAGCAAAGCAGCGAUGCCUAGCAAACCCCAAAAAGCAAUCUCUAAGUUCGGAUUGGAGUCUGCAA